UGAACAGAUUCUUCGCCUAUAUAUACCCUGUAGAACCGAAUGUGUGUGGAGUUGCCCUGGUCACAGAUUGGGUUCUAGGGGAGUCUAUGGGCAAUGACUAGUCAUC
RNAcentral lists this microRNA precursor (106 nucleotides) under Poecilia formosa (Amazon molly). RNAcentral's name for it is "miRNA (ENSPFOG00000021400.1)". The stretch from base 17 to 91 matches the Rfam family "mir-10 microRNA precursor family". From Rfam's summary of the family: In this case the mature sequence comes from the 5' arm of the precursor. The extents of the hairpin precursors are not generally known and are estimated based on hairpin prediction. The record is from RNAcentral. Lineage: Eukaryota; Metazoa; Chordata; Actinopteri; Cyprinodontiformes; Poeciliidae.